Molecule: long non-coding RNA, 306 nt
Filed under: Rhipicephalus microplus (southern cattle tick)
Lineage: Eukaryota; Metazoa; Arthropoda; Arachnida; Ixodida; Ixodidae
Description: uncharacterized LOC119160118, transcript variant X1
Source: RNAcentral
CACGCGCCUUGACAUCAUGUACAUGUUUCUGCACCUGGUCAUGUUCCACAUGCAGAACGCUCAGCGCCUACGACCUCUCGAAAUGUGAAAUUUGUUCUACACGAUGAAUUUUCGUCCACCCGUUCAGCCAUGUCUGACAGAGCUGAAAUUCAGCGUCCGAUGGUAUUCUCCCUCCUGCCUUGCUGACUACUGGGCGUCCUGCACCCCAAGAAACCUGCCAUUCAGGCUUUGCACGUGGUCAACUGAAGCUUUUUCAGUGGGUCAGAAGUGAUGGCUGCACCGGGCCCAUGCCCCUUCGAAAUUUUU